CCUGGCUCAGGGAUGAACGCUAGCGGCAGGCCUAACACAUGCAAGUCGAGGGGUAAGUGUUCAGCUUGCUGAACACACGACCGGCGCACGGGUGAGUAGCACGUUUGCAACCUACCUCUAACUGGGGGAUAGCCCGAAGAAAUUCGGAUUAAUACCCCAUAAGUGUUAGUUUGAGGCAUCUCAAAUUGAUUAAAGCUCCGGCGGUUAGAGAUGGGCAUGCGUGUCAUUAGCUAGUUGGUGAGGUAACGGCUCACCAAGGCCACGAUGACUAGGGGGUCUGAGAGGAUGAUCCCCCACACUGGUACUGAGACACGGACCAGACUCCUACGGGAGGCAGCAGUGAGGAAUAUUGGGCAAUGGACGCAAGUCUGACCCAGCCAUGCCGCGUGCAGGAUGACUGCCCUAUGGGUUGUAAACUGCUUUUGUUUGGGAAGAACUCCCCGAUCGUGAUCGGGGCUGACGGUACCUUACGAAUAAGCAUCGGCUAACUCCGUGCCAGCAGCCGCGGUAAUACGGAGGAUGCAAGCGUUAUCCGGAUUCAUUGGGUUUAAAGGGUGCGCAGGCGGAAUAUUAAGUCAGUGGUGAAAUCCUGCAGCUUAACUGUAGAACUGCCAUUGAUACUGGUAUUCUUGAAUGUAGUUGAGGUGGGCGGAAUGUGUAAUGUAGCGGUGAAAUGCUUAGAUAUUACACAGAACACCAAUUGCGAAGGCAGCUCACUAAACUAUGAUUGACGCUGAGGCACGAAAGCGUGGGUAGCAACCAGGAUUAGAUACCCUGGUAGUCCACGCCGUAAACUAUGAUCACUCGCUGUUGGCAAUACAUCGUCAGCGGCUGAGCGAAAGCAUUAAGUGAUCCACCUGGGGAGUACGGUCGCCAGAUUGAAACUCCAAGGAAUUGACGGGGGCCCGCACAAGCGAGGAACCUGUGGUUUACUUCGAUGAUACGC
Molecule: ribosomal RNA, 946 nt
Filed under: uncultured organism
Description: bacterial SSU rRNA
Rfam family: Bacterial small subunit ribosomal RNA
Source: RNAcentral